GAUUACGGUGGCCCUUCGGGGUCUUAAAAGGGAAGCCGGUGAGAGACCGGGACUGUGCCCGCAGCUGUGUUAUCCUUAACGGUCCGGAUUAUGCCAUUGCCAUUCGGUGAGAAGGCCCGGGCCGGGAGAAGUCAGAAGACCUGCCGGAAUCA
Molecule: non-coding RNA, 152 nt
Filed under: bovine gut metagenome
Source: RNAcentral